GAGGCUGUAGCUCAGUUGGGAGAGCGCCUGGAUCGCACCCAGGAGGUCGCGGGUUCGAGUCCCGCCAGCCCCA
Molecule: transfer RNA, 73 nt
Filed under: Candidatus Saccharimonadota bacterium
Lineage: Bacteria; Candidatus Saccharimonadota
Description: tRNA-Ala
Rfam family: tRNA
About the family: Transfer RNA (tRNA) molecules are approximately 80 nucleotides in length. Their secondary structure includes four short double-helical elements and three loops (D, anti-codon, and T loops). Further hydrogen bonds mediate the characteristic L-shaped molecular structure. tRNAs have two regions of fundamental functional importance: the anti-codon, which is responsible for specific mRNA codon recognition, and the 3' end, to which the tRNAs corresponding amino acid is attached (by aminoacyl-tRNA synthetases). tRNAs cope with the degeneracy of the genetic code in two manners: having more than one tRNA (with a specific anti-codon) for a particular amino acid; and 'wobble' base-pairing, i.e. permitting non-standard base-pairing at the 3rd anti-codon position.
Source: RNAcentral